GAUAUGCGCUUUACCUGUCAUUUCCUUGCAGGUUGGGUGAGUCCAAAACCAGAAAACUUACUAAUGACUAAUGUCUGCAAUAAGCGGAAACGACUUUAUGAAGCACAUUCAGCUAUUAACCUUACUAUACUAUACAUAUUAUAAAAUAUGACUGAUGUAAAGACACUCAAGAUUCGACCUCUCAGAUACAAAGUGUAUUUGUUUAUUCAAAAAUUGGUAUGCUGUUAUUUACUUCCAAUCUUAUCUGAUUUCAGUUGACAUGCCUUUUUUAAGAUUGUUGUUACUGGAAAAUAGUUCAGCAUUUAAAAUUCAAUGAAAUCUAAAGUACAUAUUCAACUUAAAAACUAUAUAAACUAUAUAUGUUCUUGAUCAGGAUCCGUCUGUCUGUCCGUCUAUCCGUUCGUAUGAACGUCAAGAUCCCGAGAACUAUAAAAGAUGCCCGCAAUCAUGAAAGUCGACAGAUAUCACAAUAUCACUCUGAGACUAGUUACCCCUUAGCUUUUGGCUGUGUGUGCGUUUUGGUCAUAUCUUUCGGUAGACGCAUUUUAAUUUUCAAAAUCGAGAUAUUAUUUUAGAAGUUAUUAAGUUGCUAAGACGCCGGGGAUAAUGUUAUUUGAAAUUUGUCAACUGAGAAACGGGUAUCUUAUAGUCGAGCAUAACGUUUUUUCUUGCUUUCUUUAAAAAUAAGGAUUUUUCAAUAAGGUCGAUUUUUUUUUUAAUACAAGAACAUAAAAUAAACAAGUUGCACUUACACUCUCAAAGAAGUGAGUUUAGACUUGGAAGCAAAACAUUUCGUGCCGUAUUUAGUUCUUCUGUAAACUUUAUUUGAUUUAAAAAAUAUGUUUUUGUAGGCACUCGUUAAAUAAAAUUAAGGUAUGAAAAGUUUUUAGAGAACGUUGUUAGGAACCCUAUAGAGUUGUUCGUUUUCAUAGAGUUUACUGUCAAACCAGCCAACUUUCUUUCGAUUCGUUGAAAGCAAAUCUCAUUUCCCUACUUGUCAGCAGCCGCAACGUUUCUUACAAAUUGUAAUACAAACUUUCUAGUCCUAGGAAAAUUUCAAUAAUUAAUCAAUUUCAAUCCGUCGAACUGCGCAUGUGCAACCUGCAUCAAUACUUUAACAUCUCAAACAAGUUGUUUAGCCGAAAUUUCUCCCAAAUUGUUGCACUUUGAGAUUCCGAUAGGCAUGAAUGUCAAUGUUACGGGUGAAUAUACGCUGGCUGAGAUCGAAGUGGUUGUGGACACGGAGUUGAGUCCCGAUGACCUGCAACCCGGAGCCACAGUGCUGGCAUCCAACGAGGGUGAGGGCGACCUGGAGAAGAUCGUCAGCCACGAGGAGCUCUCUAGGUUUUUUACCGUGACGCCGUCGGCAGCCAUCCAAAUGCCCACCGAAGUGGUGGUGGAGCGCACCCUGGCGGAUCCGGCUCUCAAGCAGAUCCUGCAGGAGGCUGACGGCAAGAAGGGCUUUGAUCCGCAGGCGGAGCAACUGAAGAUUCGCGAAUUUUUGGCCGGGGUCAAAAGCAGCAAGAUGACCACCGAGCAGUCGGUGUUUCAUGUACCGCGUUCCAGCUCAUUUGGAACCACCAGCUGUCGCAUAAAAUGCCCCCAAUGUCUGGUUCAGUACGAUACUGCCGCCUUCCAGAGCCACUCCUGCGAGUUCGAUGUCGAGCGGAAGCCCGUAGAAGUGGUAGUUUCCCAGCAAGAGAAGCCUCUGCCUGUCCCGACUGGGUGUGCUUCUCCUGCUGCUGCUGCUGCUCCGCCCAGCAAACCGAGCAGCGAGCGUGUGAUCCUUGAGAACCAGGCGCGCCUUUGUCGCUACAUGAAGGACGAGAUGAAGUACGACCUGACCACUGGCAUCGAUAGCUCGCGGAACCGGAAGUCGGGUAAGGGACCCAACGAGUGUACCAUGUGCGACCGCAAGUUUGUGCAUGCUUCGGGAUUGGUGCGCCACAUGGAGAAGCACGCCCUGGAUCUGAUCCCUUUGGCGACCAGCCUGCAACCGCAUACAGUUCCGGCUGCCGGCCUCCAUGUGCUGGUCAAGUGCAACGUCUGCGGUCGACUUUUCUACGAUCCGCAGGUGGCCCUGGAGCACGGGCUCAUUCACUUUCCGGAGCAGCCACGUCUGUGUGAUUUUCCCGAAAUUCGAUCCUCCAACGCCGAGCUGGAUUUAAAGGAGUUCAUGCUGGAUAGCGAGAUGUGGCUGGCGGGAGAGGUCACAAUCACAACCGCGCAGCAAAAGAUUAGCCGACUGGAGAAGGACUUGUUCACCAGUUUGAUCCUGGGCAGCAUUCUGCAGUGCGAGUUCUGCGAGUACAUCUUCGCCGACAUCGCAGAGCUGCUCGUCCACUCGGCCUCCCAUGUGGCAGAGCGGCGAUUCGAGUGCACCGCUUGCGACAUCCAGAUGAGCACGGCCAAGGAGGCCAGCAUCCACUUCCAGACGGACUGCAUCUUCAUGCGGGAGGCGAACAGGUCGCUAAAUGUCACACUGAGUCGUUACUUUGUGUGCAAUGUGUGCGAGUUGAAGUUCGCCAACACGGACCUUCUGCAGGAGCAUCGGUACACCUCAUAUCACUACUUUCCGCGUCUCAACGCGAGUGGUAAGAAGCUGCUGCUGCCCUGCGAGUUCUGCGAUGUCAACUUCGAGUUUGCAAACGAGAUCCAGGCGCACAAUGAGGAGAAGCAUUUAAACAAGAAGAAACGCGAGAAGGAGACCCGCAACACGGGCACUGGUCGCUUGCGUCAGUACCUCUGUGACAUCUGCGGGAAGUCCUACACCCAAUCUAGUCAUCUGUGGCAGCACCUGCGCUUCCACCAGGGUGUCAAGCCCUUUGUCUGUCAGGAGGAGAACUGCGACAGGAAGUUUACCAUCCGACCAGAUCUGAACGACCACAUCCGGAAGUGCCACACGGGCGAACGACCAUAUCUCUGUUUGGUGUGUGGCAAGCGCUUCCUGACCGGAUCCGUCUUCUACCAGCACCGGCUCAUCCAUCGAGGCGAAAGGCGCUACGAGUGCGAGGAGUGUGGCAAGCGGUUCUACCGGGCGGAUGCCCUCAAGAAUCACCAGCGCAUCCACACCGGCGAGAAGCCGUAUAGCUGCCUCUUCUGCACCAAGACCUUCCGGCAGCGUGGCGACAGGGACAAGCACAUCCGGGCGCGACACGCCCACCUGGACGCCAAUUCGCGACUGAUGAUGCAGAUGCAGAAGUUUCAGCUGGAGUCGGCUGCAGCCGCUGCCCUUCAGGCCAAGCAUCAUCCGGACGAGCAAGCUCCUGCGGAGGAGGCCUCUGGCUCGGGGUCCGGAUUGGCAGAGACUGGCGAUCCUGGGAUGCAGUACUCCGUCCUGCCAGAGCAGAAUGACGAAUUGAUGUGCCUGUCAAUGAACGGCGUGAACAACAAUUUCCUUAUGUCGCAGUAUGGCCAGGCAGUGCCAAUGGAGGCGAGUGGCUCAGAGCAGGACAUAAUCGUCUUCGAAGAUCCGGCCCAACAGGAUAUGGAUAUGUUGAGCAUGUUCGAGCCGCAGCCGGGUAAGCCGCCAAUGCAAGGUGGUGAAAAUGCCAAGGUGGUUGUUGUCAAGAACAAUCCGUCCCAACCACUGUUUUCGGAUACCUAUAUGUAAGAGUCGAAUUCGAAUUUGAAUAAAGCGCCAGAGGAAUAGAGGGGCCACUGGCUAAUGGUGAUGCCACUUUGGUAGUGGCUACGCCCUCUGCAGAGUGGUGUUAAAUAGUGAGUGCAUUUCAGCAGAUGUUAAGAAUUUCAACAGAAAGUGGGCAAGAAAUGGAGUGGAACCUGGCUAAGUGUUCAAGAACUUGAGUGAAGUGCGCAUGAACUGCCGUGAAAUCGGUAACAGUGGGCUAGAACUUGAGUGAGAAGUUAACAGAGGCAAGAAAAUAUCGUUAGAGACGGAUAAGCAUUAAAAGCUCUGCCAAACAUUGAUGAGACUGACCUAUUGAAAACAUCGCUGUAAGCAAUGCCCCACCUCUAGCGGUGAAUUUUAGUGAUUGUGGGUUUGUGUUUCGCAGUGAAAUGUUAGCCAAACGUCCAACUAACAGCGGAAUGUUAGCCAAUCGUCCAACUAACAGAAAGAUAUCGUUAGUGAUGGAAGAACAUUGAUAGUCCCUGCCAAACAUCGAUAAGACCGAUAUUGUGAAAACAGCGAAGUCAUCGAUGUUUUUGCACCUCAGACUGCCCUCCCUAGUUCCUUUUCUUUUUCUUUCUCGUCGAAAAACGCCAACAUGGGUUUCGCUACUCUCUGGUACUCGCACCCCCGCAAAUACGGCCAAGGCUC
This is an RNA transcript of Drosophila elegans, 4282 nucleotides long. It is a transcript of the gene named testis-specific zinc finger protein topi, with no coding region annotated. The transcript has 5 exons. Lineage: Eukaryota; Metazoa; Arthropoda; Insecta; Diptera; Drosophilidae. The record is from RefSeq and is a predicted model, not a curated record.